UCGAGAAUCUUCGGCAAUGGGCGCAAGCCUGACCGAGCGACGCCGCGUGCGGGAUGAAGGCCUUCGGGUUGUAAACCGCUGUCGGAGGGGAGGAAAUGCGCGGGGGUUCUCCCUCGCGUUUGACCUAGCCUCAAAGGAAGGACGGGCUAAGUUCGUGCCAGCAGCCGCGGUAAGACGAACUGUCCAAACGUUACUCGGAAUUACUGGGCUUAAAGGGUGCGUAGGCGGCUCAGAAAGUUGGGUGUGAAAGCCCUCGGCUUAACCGAGGAGGGUCGCACAAAACUACUGAGCUUGAGGAAGACAGAGGUGCGCGGAACUUGCGGUGGAGCGGUGAAAUGCGUUGAUAUCGCAAGGAACACCAGGGGCGAAAGCGGCGCACUGGGUCUUUUCUGACGCUGAGGCACGAAAGCUAGGGGAGCGAAGAGGAU
This 428-nucleotide ribosomal RNA is filed under the name uncultured bacterium. RNAcentral's name for it is "bacterial SSU rRNA". It matches the Rfam family "Bacterial small subunit ribosomal RNA", at positions 355 to 778 of the family's 1533-position model. The record is from RNAcentral.